Molecule: ribosomal RNA, 322 nt
Filed under: uncultured eukaryote
Lineage: Eukaryota
Description: partial 18S ribosomal RNA
Rfam family: Eukaryotic small subunit ribosomal RNA
Source: RNAcentral
CCCUUAGAUGUUCUGGGCCGCCCGCGCGCUACACUGAUGCAUUCAACGAGUGUACCUUGGCCGAGAGGCCUGGGCAAUCUUUUGAACGUGCAUCGUGAUAGGGAUAGAUUAUUGCAAUUAUUAAUCUUGAACGAGGAAUUCCUAGUAAACGCAGAUCAUCAAUCUGCAUUGAUUACGUCCCUGCCCUUUGUACACACCGCCCGUCGCACCUACCGAUUGGAUGGUCCGGUGAAGCCUCGGGAUUGUGGCGGUUGCCUUUAUUGGUGGCCGCCGCGAGAACUUGUCUAAACCUUAUCAUCUAGAGGAAGGUGAANUCGUAACA